GUAGAGUAAGCAUUGCGCGUAAAGUGGCAAGCGGAUGGGAAGUUGCCCUUGCACGAAAGACGCAUUCGCCGUCUGCGGUGCAAUGCUGCAUCCGCUA
Molecule: non-coding RNA, 97 nt
Filed under: pig gut metagenome
Description: THF riboswitch
Rfam family: THF (Tetrahydrofolate) riboswitch aptamer
About the family: THF riboswitch presents a pseudoknot that joins P1-P2 and the loop of P3 and two THF binding.
Source: RNAcentral